Limulus polyphemus (Atlantic horseshoe crab) is the source of this 143-nucleotide long non-coding RNA. RefSeq lists it as uncharacterized. The transcript is spliced from 2 exons. The record is from RefSeq and is a predicted model, not a curated record. Lineage: Eukaryota; Metazoa; Arthropoda; Merostomata; Xiphosura; Limulidae.
GGCUAGAACUUGAGAAAAGUUUUGACCGGCAAGCAGUUGGUGCUGUGUUAGAUCUCACUGGAGAUGAGGACAGCAAUAUGAAACACAAGAAAGGAAUCACCAGAUGGGAUCGACGAAAGAAAAAGUUUGUGAAGGACAUAGGC